GACGAACGCUGGCGGCGUGCUUAACACAUGCAAGUCGAACGGAAAGGCCCUGCUUUUGUGGGGUGCUCGAGUGGCAAACGGGUGAGUAACACGUGAGUAACCUGCCCUUGACUUUGGGAUAACUUCAGGAAACUGGGGCUAAUACCGGAUAGGAGCUCCUGCUGCAUGGUGGGGGUUGGAAAGUUUCGGCGGUUGGGGAUGGACUCGCGGCUUAUCAGCUUGUUGGUGGGGUAGUGGCUUACCAAGGCUUUGACGGGUAGCCGGCCUGAGAGGGUGACCGGCCACAUUGGGACUGAGAUACGGCCCAGACUCCUACGGGAGGCAGCAGUGGGGAAUAUUGCACAAUGGGCGGAAGCCUGAUGCAGCAACGCCGCGUGCGGGAUGACGGCCUUCGGGUUGUAAACCGCUUUCGCCUGUGACGAAGCGUGAGUGACGGGAAUGGGUAAAGAAGCAGCGGCGAACUACGU
This 467-nucleotide ribosomal RNA is filed under the name uncultured bacterium. Its description in RNAcentral is "partial 16S ribosomal RNA". It matches the Rfam family "Bacterial small subunit ribosomal RNA", at positions 28 to 506 of the family's 1533-position model. The record is from RNAcentral.